CCCUUAGAUGUUAUGGGCCGCACACGCGCUACACUGAAGGAGGCAGCGUGUACUCCUGGAUCGAAAGAUUUGGGUAACCCGCGAAUCUCCUUCGUGCUAGGGAUUGAGGUUUGCAAUUAUCCUUCAUGAACGAGGAAUUCCCAGUAAGUGCAAGUCAUAAGCUUGCGCUGACUACGUCCCUGCCCUUUGUACACACCGCCCGUCGCUACUACCGAUUGAAUGAUUUAGUGAGGACUUCGGACUGGGACCGAUGCGGCUUUCGGGCUGCGUCGGUAUUCUGGAAAGAUGUCCAAACUGUAUCAUUUAGAGGAAGUAAAAGUCGUAACA
This 327-nucleotide ribosomal RNA is filed under the name uncultured eukaryote. Its description in RNAcentral is "partial 18S ribosomal RNA". It matches the Rfam family "Eukaryotic small subunit ribosomal RNA", at positions 1470 to 1796 of the family's 1831-position model. The record is from RNAcentral.